CGCGUAGGCGGGGGACCAAGUCCGGGGUGAAAUCUUUCGGCUCAACCGGAAAACUGCCUUGGAUACUGGUCUUCUUGAGGGAGGUAGGGGCAGGUGGAACUUCCGGUGGAGCGGUGAAAUGCGUUGAUAUCGGAAGGAACGCCGGUGGCGAAAGCGACCUGCUGGAUCUCUUCUGACGCUGAUGCGCGAAAGCUAGGGGAGCGAACG
RNAcentral lists this ribosomal RNA (207 nucleotides) under uncultured bacterium. Its description in RNAcentral is "partial 16S ribosomal RNA". It matches the Rfam family "Bacterial small subunit ribosomal RNA", at positions 568 to 774 of the family's 1533-position model. The record is from RNAcentral.